RNAcentral lists this ribosomal RNA (497 nucleotides) under uncultured bacterium. RNAcentral describes it as "partial 16S ribosomal RNA". It matches the Rfam family "Bacterial small subunit ribosomal RNA", at positions 28 to 507 of the family's 1533-position model. The record is from RNAcentral.
GAUGAACGCUGGCGGCGUGCCUAAUACAUGCAAGUCGAGCGAACGGACGAGAAGCUUGCUUCUCUGAUGUUAGCGGCGGACUGGUGAGUAACACGUGGAUAACCUACCUAUAAGACUGGGAUAACUUCGGGAAACCGGAGCUAAUACCGGAUGAUAUUUUGAACCGCAUGGUUCAAAAGUGAAAGACGGUCUUGCUGUCACUUCUAGAUGGAUCCGCGCUGCAUUAGCUAGUUGGUAAGGUAACGGCUUACCAAGGCAACGCUGCAUAGCCGACCUGAGAGGGUGAUAGGCCACACUGGAACUGAGACACGGUCCAGACUCCUACGGGAGGCAGCAGUAGGGAAUCGUCCGCAGUGGGCGAAAGCCUGACGGAGCAACGCCGCGUGAGUGAUGAAGGUCUUCGGAUCGUAAAACUCUGUUAUUAGGGAAGAACAUAUGUGUAAGUAACUGUGCACAUCGUGACGGUACCUAAUCAGAAAGCCACGGCUAACUACGUG